Molecule: RNA transcript, 566 nt
Organism: Mus pahari (shrew mouse)
Lineage: Eukaryota; Metazoa; Chordata; Mammalia; Rodentia; Muridae
Gene name: transmembrane protein 134 pseudogene
Exons: 1
Source: RefSeq, a predicted model, not a curated record
CUCAAAUGGCGGAGGCGCUGGGCGCCUAGGCCGUCGGGGGCCAUGAGCGCCGCCCGGCCCCACUUUAGCAUCCAUGAUGCCUUCGAGCUGACCCUGGAGGACGCGGGGCCUGAGCCCGAGUCCAGCGGGGUCGCCCGCUUCGGGCCGCUGCACUUCGAUCGCCGGGCUCGGUUCGAGGUGGCUGAUGAAGACAAGCAGUCCCGGCUACGCCUCUCCGGAGCCUGAUGGGGGAGUCAGCACCAGGUCAGGACCAGGGAUUCUGGGCACAUGUCUGUCCGCAGCUCGCAGUGGUCCUUCAGCACCAUCAGCAGCAGCACACAGCACUUCUACAAUGCCUGCUGCAGUUGGACCCAGCAUCCUCUGAUCCAGAGAAACCGCCGGGUAGUGCUGGCCUCCUUCCUGCUUCUGCUGUUGGGGCUAGGUGUCUCCAGCGCCAUCUUCUUUGUGCCGGGCAUCCUGCUGCUAGUCCCGGGAGUCUACCGUGUGAUCUUCAUCUACUGUGCUGUCAAAGGCCGCCAGGGCUUCCAGUUCUUCUACCUGCCCUACUUUGAGAAGUGAGCUGUAAC